RNAcentral lists this unclassified non-coding RNA (253 nucleotides) under uncultured Acidobacteriota bacterium. RNAcentral describes it as "uncultured Acidobacteria bacterium contains 16S-23S intergenic spacer region". It matches the Rfam family "Bacterial small subunit ribosomal RNA", at positions 524 to 776 of the family's 1533-position model. Lineage: Bacteria; Pseudomonadati; Acidobacteriota. The record is from RNAcentral.
UACGGAGGUGGCGAGCGUUAUUCGGAAUUAUUGGGCGUAAAGAGCGCGUAGGCGGCCAAGCAAGUCAGGGUUGAAAUCCCUCGGCUCAACCGAGGAACUGCCUCUGAAACUGCAUGGCUUGAGACCGGGCGAGGGUGGUGGAAUUCCUAGUGUAGCGGUGAAAUGCGUAGAUAUUAGGAGGAACACCAGUGGCGAAGGCGGCCACCUGGACCGGUUCUGACGCUGAGGCGCGAAAGCGUGGGGAGCAAACAGG